GGCUCGGUGGUCUAGGGGUAUGAUUCUUCAGCUUCGGGUGCGAGGUCCCGGGUUCAAAUCCCCGGCCGAGCCC
Molecule: non-coding RNA, 73 nt
Organism: Caerostris darwini
Lineage: Eukaryota; Metazoa; Arthropoda; Arachnida; Araneae; Araneidae
Source: the annotation of a GenBank genome assembly